RNAcentral lists this ribosomal RNA (319 nucleotides) under uncultured marine bacterium. Its description in RNAcentral is "bacterial SSU rRNA". It matches the Rfam family "Bacterial small subunit ribosomal RNA", at positions 523 to 843 of the family's 1533-position model. The record is from RNAcentral.
AUACACAGGGUGCAAGCGUUAAUCGGAAUUACUGGGCGUAAAGGGUGCGUCGGCGGUUUGCAAGAUAGGUGUCAAAUCCCAGGGCUUAACCUUGCCACUGCCCUUUUAACUGCCAUGCUAGAGUACGUCAGAGGGGGGUACAAUUCCAAGUGUAGCAGUGUAGUGCGUAAAGCUGUGCAGGAAUACCAAUGGCGAAGGCAGCCCCCCUGGGAUGAUCCUGCCCCUGAGGCACGAAAGCCUCGGGAGCAAACACGAUUAGAUACCCUGGCGUCCACGCACUAUACUAUGUCAACCAGCAGUUGGGGCCGAUAAGCUUUAG